UGGGGGAUAUUGCGCAAUGGGGGAAACCCUGACGCAGCAACGCCGCGUGAAGGACGAAGGUUUUCGGAUCGUAAACUUCUUUGACCGGGGACGAAGAAAUGACGGUACCCGGGGAACAAGCCACGGCUAACUACGUGCCAGCAGCCGCGGUAAUACGUAGGUGGCGAGCGUUGUCCGGAUUUACUGGGUGUAAAGGGCGCGUAGGCGGGGCGGCAAGUCCGAUGUGAAAUCCCGCGGCUUAACUGCGGAACUGCAUCGGAAACUGCCGUCCUUGAGUAUCAGAGGGGAAAGCGGAAUUCCUAGUGUAGCGGUGAAAUGCGUAGAUAUUAGGAGGAACACCGGUGGCGAAGGCGGCUUUCUGGCUGAAAACUGACGCUGAUGCGCGAAAGCGUGGGGAGCAAACAGG
Molecule: ribosomal RNA, 406 nt
Filed under: uncultured prokaryote
Also listed under: 1 other name
Description: bacterial SSU rRNA
Rfam family: Bacterial small subunit ribosomal RNA
Source: RNAcentral